UGAAAUACUACUUUGGAAUAUUUUCUCAACAUCAGGGUUCAAGUUUGUUAUUUCUACUGAGACAUCAGGUCAGAAGAAAAGAACAAUAGUGAGAAGGCAUUCAUGGCUUUGCAUUAUCAGAAAGUUAUCCUGCUGUUUCAACUGUGUAUGAUUGAGCAUAUUGUCAUUGAUGAAGAAUUUUUAUUUAUUUUUGAUCAAAGACUUCACCAUGUUUUCCUGACCUUUUCAAUCUCCUGGAUGCAGAGGUUUAACGUGAGCUCUCCUAGGUACUGGGAGAAACUCUGAUAAUGACCCCUGAGAAUGAGCUCAGUGGUGAGAAGUCCAAGGACAGGAUGAGGUCGACAUUGCACGUGUUUUUGGAAUAAGAAUCAACACACUUAAAAGACUGGGAUUUGGAAGUGAGAAGGAGUAUAUGGAAGUGAUUCAGGAAAACAAGGAAAUGAGACACAAGUGACAAAAUUUGUCAAAGUUCUAUGCAUUUGUUCCUUUGGAUUCAAGUGAAACAUCUGUAGUCAAUUCUUAACCCAAUGCUGGUUUGUUCUUACCAACUUCCUUGCCCUGCUAUUGAGGGAAAAAAGACAGAGAGCUCUCACCAGAAACAAGGAACAGAGGAGGUAAAUUUCCAAAGGAUCUGGUAGAAGAAUUAGUCUUACUGUGUUCCUCAUGAGAAAAGUAUUCUGUUGGAGGACAUAUAAUAAAACAGCAGUCACAAGAUGUGAUUUAGUCACAGCUCUGAAAACUCUGGAAGACCAUGGGGAAGUUCCCUAACCUCCUUGGGUAUUUCAUCUGAGCUGUUGGAGUUGCAUUACCUAAUCUCUGUGGUUCCUUGAAGCUGCCACAUUCAGUGAUUCUAUCUGUCUUCAAUGAUAGAUACAACAAGGAGCAACCUAAGCUGAAAGUGGCCUGAAAUGUGCAUCUGAAAAGAGAAAUUUUGGUUCCCAGGCAUAGGAGUGUGUUCACAGAAAAAGAAGCUAGCUAAAGAAUGUCUUUGGGUGUUCUGGACAGGCUUGGAAUCCACAGAAGUAUUUAUUUCAAGAGGAUAUCCAUACUGAUUUUUCACUGAAGGUCAAAGAGAGUUCUAGAUAAACUGCCUGAGGCCUGGCAGUAAAAAAAGAAGGAAAUGUAGUCCUUUGAAACUCUGUCCCUCAUGAGAACAUGGACUACUUUAUCCCUGAGUGAGAGAUGAGCCGUUGGACCAGUAACAACACUUCUAGGCUUCAUUCUUCAAGGGGAGGUGACAUAUGGUAAAUACUAAGACAGAUUACAACAAGAUUCUUCUGUUACUCCUGCUUGUCAUCCUUGAAGGAGUGCUCCAUGAAGACUGCAGUGUCUUCCCUCUCACAGGCAGCGUGCUCCUCCAGCAGCUCCUGCAGCAUGUCUGUGGGGAAGCUCACUCGCUGGGCCAUCUAUUCGCUGUAGUGGUUGUCUGCCUUCUGAAUGGCAGCUGAGUUCUCCAGAUGGGCCAGAGUUGUCACUGCGUUCUCCAAGUGAGGUACUGCUCCGCUAUUGAUAGUAUCCAUGUAGGUCACAACCAGAGUCCUCAGCCCUGAAGAAGCCAGGAAAUUUAGGGGCUAAAUAUCAAGUUAUCAGUCAAUGGCUCCAGGAUUCUGAGACUAUGCUUCUAGGGUCAUAUACUAUACAUGCACACACACAAACACACACAUGCACCCCUACCUCCUUCUACCAUUAUCACCUUCAUUUUCCUACUGACUCUUCAUUUUUAUGGUUUUCCAGGUCAUAGGACUGAAAAAGUUAAUAUCUACUUCUAUCUAACAUACUAGGGGCUACCUGGAAAAUACAGUUUCUCAAUUUAAAAAUUGAAAGCAAUAUAGAUUACAUAGAUAGACAGAUGAGGCAAGGUGUACCAUGUUUAAUGUAUUCCUAAUUCUGAGGCUUUGAAUGGAUU
Vicugna pacos (alpaca) is the source of this 1906-nucleotide non-coding RNA. Lineage: Eukaryota; Metazoa; Chordata; Mammalia; Artiodactyla; Camelidae. The record is from RefSeq and is a predicted model, not a curated record.